RNAcentral lists this ribosomal RNA (462 nucleotides) under uncultured bacterium. RNAcentral's name for it is "bacterial SSU rRNA". It matches the Rfam family "Bacterial small subunit ribosomal RNA", at positions 1 to 507 of the family's 1533-position model. The record is from RNAcentral.
AGGUAGUCACGUAGUUGAUCAUGGCUACAGAACGAACGCUGGCGGCAUGCCUAACACAUGCAAGUCGAACGAGACCUUCGGGUCUAGUGGCGCACGGGUGCGUAACACGUGGGAAUUUGCCUCGGGGUAUGGAAUAACUCAGGGAAACUUGAGCUAAUACCAUAUAAUGUCUUCGGACCAAAGAUUUAUCGCCUUUAGAUGGGCCCGCGUUGGAUUAGCUAGUUGGUGGGUAAAGGCCUACCAAGGCGACGAUCCAUAGCUGGUCUGAGAGGAUGAUCAGCCACACUGGGACUGAGACACGGCCCAGACUCCUACGGGAGGCAGCAGUGGGGAAUAUUGGACAAUGGGCGAAAGCCUGAUCCAGCAAUGCCGCGUGAGUGAUGAAGGCCUUAGGGUUGUAAAGCUCUUUUACCCGAGAUGAUAAUGACAGUAUCGGGAGAAUAAGCUCCGGCUAACUCCGUG